This 2832-nucleotide ribosomal RNA is filed under the name Pseudomonas aeruginosa. Its description in RNAcentral is "bacterial LSU rRNA". It matches the Rfam family "Bacterial large subunit ribosomal RNA". Lineage: Bacteria; Pseudomonadati; Pseudomonadota; Gammaproteobacteria; Pseudomonadales; Pseudomonadaceae. The record is from RNAcentral.
AGCGCAUACGGUGGAUGCCUUGGCAGUCAGAGGCGAUGAAAGACGUGGUAGCCUGCGAAAAGCUUCGGGGAGUCGGCAAACAGACUUUGAUCCGGAGAUCUCUGAAUGGGGGAACCCACCUAGGAUAACCUAGGUAUCUUGUACUGAAUCCAUAGGUGCAAGAGGCGAACCAGGGGAACUGAAACAUCUAAGUACCCUGAGGAAAAGAAAUCAACCGAGAUUCCCUUAGUAGUGGCGAGCGAACGGGGAUUAGCCCUUAAGCUUCAUUGAUUUUAGCGGAACGCUCUGGAAAGUGCGGCCAUAGUGGGUGAUAGCCCCGUACGCGAAAGGAUCUUUGAAGUGAAAUCGAGUAGGACGGAGCACGAGAAACUUUGUCUGAACAUGGGGGGACCAUCCUCCAAGGCUAAAUACUACUGACUGACCGAUAGUGAACCAGUACCGUGAGGGAAAGGCGAAAAGAACCCCGGAGAGGGGAGUGAAAUAGAACCUGAAACCGUAUGCGUACAAGCAGUGGGAGCCUACUUGUUAGGUGACUGCGUACCUUUUGUAUAAUGGGUCAGCGACUUAUAUUCAGUGGCAAGCUUAACCGUAUAGGGUAGGCGUAGCGAAAGCGAGUCUUAAUAGGGCGUUUAGUCGCUGGGUAUAGACCCGAAACCGGGCGAUCUAUCCAUGAGCAGGUUGAAGGUUAGGUAACACUGACUGGAGGACCGAACCCACUCCCGUUGAAAAGGUAGGGGAUGACUUGUGGAUCGGAGUGAAAGGCUAAUCAAGCUCGGAGAUAGCUGGUUCUCCUCGAAAGCUAUUUAGGUAGCGCCUCAUGUAUCACUCUGGGGGGUAGAGCACUGUUUCGGCUAGGGGGUCAUCCCGACUUACCAAACCGAUGCAAACUCCGAAUACCCAGAAGUGCCGAGCAUGGGAGACACACGGCGGGUGCUAACGUCCGUCGUGAAAAGGGAAACAACCCAGACCGCCAGCUAAGGUCCCAAAGUUGUGGUUAAGUGGUAAACGAUGUGGGAAGGCUUAGACAGCUAGGAGGUUGGCUUAGAAGCAGCCAUCCUUUAAAGAAAGCGUAAUAGCUCACUAGUCGAGUCGGCCUGCGCGGAAGAUGUAACGGGGCUCAAACCACACACCGAAGCUGCGGGUGUCACGUAAGUGACGCGGUAGAGGAGCGUUCUGUAAGCCUGUGAAGGUGAGUUGAGAAGCUUGCUGGAGGUAUCAGAAGUGCGAAUGCUGACAUGAGUAACGACAAUGGGUGUGAAAAACACCCACGCCGAAAGACCAAGGGUUCCUGCGCAACGUUAAUCGACGCAGGGUUAGUCGGUUCCUAAGGCGAGGCUGAAAAGCGUAGUCGAUGGGAAACAGGUUAAUAUUCCUGUACUUCUGGUUACUGCGAUGGAGGGACGGAGAAGGCUAGGCCAGCUUGGCGUUGGUUGUCCAAGUUUAAGGUGGUAGGCUGAAAUCUUAGGUAAAUCCGGGGUUUCAAGGCCGAGAGCUGAUGACGAGUCGUCUUUUAGAUGACGAAGUGGUUGAUGCCAUGCUUCCAAGAAAAGCUUCUAAGCUUCAGGUAACCAGGAACCGUACCCCAAACCGACACAGGUGGUCGGGUAGAGAAUACCAAGGCGCUUGAGAGAACUCGGGUGAAGGAACUAGGCAAAAUGGCACCGUAACUUCGGGAGAAGGUGCGCCGGCUAGGGUGAAGGAUUUACUCCGUAAGCUCUGGCUGGUCGAAGAUACCAGGCCGCUGCGACUGUUUAUUAAAAACACAGCACUCUGCAAACACGAAAGUGGACGUAUAGGGUGUGACGCCUGCCCGGUGCCGGAAGGUUAAUUGAUGGGGUUAGCGCAAGCGAAGCUCUUGAUCGAAGCCCCGGUAAACGGCGGCCGUAACUAUAACGGUCCUAAGGUAGCGAAAUUCCUUGUCGGGUAAGUUCCGACCUGCACGAAUGGCGUAACGAUGGCGGCGCUGUCUCCACCCGAGACUCAGUGAAAUUGAAAUCGCUGUGAAGAUGCAGUGUAUCCGCGGCUAGACGGAAAGACCCCGUGAACCUUUACUGUAGCUUUGCACUGGACUUUGAGCCUGCUUGUGUAGGAUAGGUGGGAGGCUUUGAAGCGUGGACGCCAGUUCGCGUGGAGCCAUCCUUGAAAUACCACCCUGGCAUGCUUGAGGUUCUAACUCUGGUCCGUAAUCCGGAUCGAGGACAGUGUAUGGUGGGCAGUUUGACUGGGGCGGUCUCCUCCUAAAGAGUAACGGAGGAGUACGAAGGUGCGCUCAGACCGGUCGGAAAUCGGUCGUAGAGUAUAAAGGCAAAAGCGCGCUUGACUGCGAGACAGACACGUCGAGCAGGUACGAAAGUAGGUCUUAGUGAUCCGGUGGUUCUGUAUGGAAGGGCCAUCGCUCAACGGAUAAAAGGUACUCCGGGGAUAACAGGCUGAUACCGCCCAAGAGUUCAUAUCGACGGCGGUGUUUGGCACCUCGAUGUCGGCUCAUCACAUCCUGGGGCUGAAGCCGGUCCCAAGGGUAUGGCUGUUCGCCAUUUAAAGUGGUACGCGAGCUGGGUUUAGAACGUCGUGAGACAGUUCGGUCCCUAUCUGCCGUGGACGUUUGAGAUUUGAGAGGGGCUGCUCCUAGUACGAGAGGACCGGAGUGGACGAACCUCUGGUGUUCCGGUUGUCACGCCAGUGGCAUUGCCGGGUAGCUAUGUUCGGAAAAGAUAACCGCUGAAAGCAUCUAAGCGGGAAACUUGCCUCAAGAUGAGAUCUCACUGGGAACUUGAUUCCCCUGAAGGGCCGUCGAAGACUACGACGUUGAUAGGCUGGGUGUGUAAGCGUUGU